Non-coding RNA from Maylandia zebra (zebra mbuna), 736 nucleotides. NCBI's taxonomy places the organism in Eukaryota, Metazoa, Chordata, Actinopteri, Cichliformes, Cichlidae. The record is from RefSeq and is a predicted model, not a curated record.
AGUCAGGCUGCAUCAGCUGAAGCUGUUAUUUGUAUAUAUCAGUAUUUUUUAUUCAGGUGUGGGGAAAAUACGUAAGACUGCAGUGAAGCGAUGCACCAGAUUAAUCCCUGGCCAAAGAACAGUUCUCCACAGUCGCUGUCCACAUGGGUCAGUGGGACCAAGAAGCACUCUGCUAAUGUGGGACUCUGACCAGCAACAUCCAGCAAGACCCAGACAGCGUUUUCUAUCUCCCAGCUGCAGUUUUUGUUUGUCAGUGACUGGAGAGUCAGAUUUUUGUUGAGCUUCACACUUGCAGAGCUAAGUCAGUUUGCAGAGAUCCCUCCCACCCUGGCUUUUAUGUGCUAGAUUUCUUAUCUGAAACAGUAAUAUUUCAGUGACUGCUGCUUAUACCACAGGUUAAUACACGCUACUGAUCCCUGAUGGGAGAAUCAUCAAUUUUGGCAACAAAGAAGCCUGGUGGAUGUUUGUUUACAGUCUGAUGAUGGGACAUCAUGCUCUGCAUCUUCAAAGUUUGCCUCCUCAUUAUUAUUCAUACCCAGUAAUGUGAAUCUUUUUGCAGGAUCAGAAAACAAAACCAGGAGGCGCGUAAAUGUUUCUUCUCCAUGAUGUUUCUCCAAAUGUUUCUUCUGGAUGAUGAUAAGACUGUGACACGGGAUGCCACCUUUGGUCUUGUGAUGAAGCAAAGCUCAGGAAGAAGUGGGAUUAAAUGGUACCCACAUGCUGAGAAGGAUGUACA